GACGAACGCUGGCGGCGUGCUUAACACAUGCAAGUCGAACGGAAAGGCCCUGCUUGCAGGGUACUCGAGUGGCGAACGGGUGAGUAACACGUGGGUGAUCUGCCCUUCACUUCGGGAUAAGCCUGGGAAGCUGGGUCUAAUACCGGAUAGGAGCCAUUUUUAGUGUGAUGGUUGGAAAGUUUUUUCGGUGUAGGAUGAGCUCGCGGCCUAUCAGCUUGUUGGUGGGGUAAUGGCCUACCAAGGCGGCGACGGGUAGCCGGCCUGAGAGGGUGGACGGCCACAUUGGGACUGAGAUACGGCCCAGACUCCUACGGGAGGCAGCAGUGGGGAAUAUUGCACAAUGGGCGCAAGCCUGAUGCAGCGACGCCGCGUGGGGGAUGACGGCCUUCGGGUUGUAAACUCCUUUCGCUAGGGACGAAGCUUUUUGUGACGGUACCUAGAUAAGAAGCACCGGCUAACUACGUG
RNAcentral lists this ribosomal RNA (465 nucleotides) under uncultured bacterium. RNAcentral's name for it is "partial 16S ribosomal RNA". It matches the Rfam family "Bacterial small subunit ribosomal RNA", at positions 28 to 507 of the family's 1533-position model. The record is from RNAcentral.